UCCUGGUGGCUCAUAUGGUAAAGAAUCUGCCUGCAAUGCAGGACACCCAGGUUCGAUCCCUGGAUUAGGAA
RNAcentral lists this transfer RNA (71 nucleotides) under Ovis aries (sheep). It matches the Rfam family "tRNA". From Rfam's summary of the family: Transfer RNA (tRNA) molecules are approximately 80 nucleotides in length. Lineage: Eukaryota; Metazoa; Chordata; Mammalia; Artiodactyla; Bovidae. The record is from Rfam by way of RNAcentral.